Molecule: ribosomal RNA, 322 nt
Filed under: uncultured eukaryote
Lineage: Eukaryota
Description: partial 18S ribosomal RNA
Rfam family: Eukaryotic small subunit ribosomal RNA
Source: RNAcentral
CCCUUAGAUGUUCUGGGCCGCACGCGUGCUACGCUGAGUGGAUCAGCGGGUCAGGUUGCGCGAAAGUGUUUCCUAAUCUUUAAAUCCGCUCGUGAUGGGGAUUGACGGUUGCAAUUUUCCGCCAUGAACGAGGAAUACCUUGUAAGCGCGGGUCAUCAUCCCGCGCUGAAUACGUCCCUGCCCUUUGUACACACCGCCCGUCGCUCCUACCGAUUGAGUGGUCCGGUGAGGCUUUGGGAUCUGAGCGGAAAGAGCGUUUCGCUGUUUCUGCCCGGAAAACUCAGUCGAACCUUAUCAUUUAGAGGAAGGAGAAGUCGUAACA